GUACGGAUUUUCCAUUUCCUCUUUAUGAAAUUAAAAUAUGCUGGGGAUGACGGCAGAGCAGCAGAGAACAGUGCAUUGUCAUGCAAUGCACAGUGCCUGCAAAGGUGCCUUGUAGCUUAUUCCUUAUUCAAAGAGUGCCAAGUGCGUGUUUAAUCAAUGUCACGGCUCACUACAGUAUACAACUAAAAGCAUCUUCUCUCUUCAGAUGAGCUUGACUGCUGAGUUAUGCAAUACUCAAAAGAGGACCUCAGAAUUUAACGGUUUGCCAGAAGAUCUGAAAGGACUUGCAGAAAAACGGAAAGUGCAGCUAGACAGUUUGUGGGAAUUUUAAGUUAGUCUGAGCUGCUGUGCUGUGGAAUAAACAGUUUAAUUUGUUGAAUUUGGAGUUACAGCAACUUAGCCCAGGAAAUCAGAUGACUGACCAUUAACAAGUUGAGAGGUGCGCAAUAAUCGGAUAUCUUGACAAUUUUUGCUGUGUGACCAAGCAGAAACUACUAAGGCACUCAUAAGACCAUCCCAGAUAAUUAUUAACUAUUCUCCAUUAAAAAAAAACUUCUUGUAACCACCAAGUAGAUGUGGAUAUGUAAAAGAAUCACAAUGAAACACAGAACUGCAUUCGAUUCUUCUUUUCUUUGUCACGUUGCUUCAGUGGAUUACUGAUUUUUAGAAAUGAGAGGACAGGCUUCCUACACUUCAGUUUCUUAACCUGCUCCAUCACCAAACAAUACCAUUUUAUAUUCACGAGUUUUGAACUCUCUCAAGAAUCAAGCCACCAUAUAUGUAUGUACAUAACCAAAUGCAAACCAGCUCUUCAUGAGGAAAUCAAGCAACUUAUCAUUGUUACAAGGGGCUCAGAACUAUGCCCAGUGCCAUUUUACUCCUGAUGAGGUAUAGGGCAUCUAAAGAAGUAGUGGUGAAGUUACUAGCUACAGAAAUGGGCCCAGUGGCUGUCACCGCAGUAGAUGAUGUCAAGAGACGAGAAGAGAAGGAAGAAAAAGAAGAGUCCAUAUUGGCUAUGCUUGGGAUAGUUGGAACUGUGCUAAAUCUCUUUGUCAUUGUUUUUGUGUACAUCUAUACUACCCUUUGAUAUACUGAUGGCAGCUGUGCUAAGUGUGCAAGCGGAUGCAGCAGUGAUUACAAAUAACGCCCUGGUCAACCAUCACAGGGAUACAAGGAUGAAAUACCAAGAUAAGAAUGUUAUGUCCGAGAUGAGGCUAUAUCCUGGUGGUCCAGAGAUGCAGUCAAUGCAUGUAAACUCAGAACUACAAAAUAACCUACUGCUGGUACACCUGAAUGUAAAAUGAUGCUCAGUUACUGCCUCAUGGACAAACCCACAGGAAAAAGGCCGUAAAGCUAUUUGUCCAAAAAAAUAUCCACAUCACAGACUUAAAACUGAAACAUUACGAUAGCCUUAUAACCAUAUAGAGUUUGUUACAAUUUCAUUCUACAAAAUUCUAGAACAGAUUGUUACUCUGAUGGAGAGAAAAAAAUACAGCAAGCAAAUCAGUUUGGAAUUUCUGAAAAACAAAAAGCAUCUGACAACUCAAAGUUGCAAUGGCAGCAAAACUACUACCAUUACAAAGCCUGUCCAGGAAAAAAAAUCCUCAUUUAUAGUUUGUAUUGCUCAAAUUCUGUAAAACACUGCAGCAAUUAUGCUCAUUGCUUCUCCACACACUUCAUUCCUCCACUGAGUCUGAAGAAUUUAUAAAAGGCACAUUCCUAUAACUGCAAAAUGAAAAUAAAGCUGUAUGAUGAGGUCAUGUGUAUGAGAAAUGCACUUGUACAUUCUCCACAGAUGCUGGAACAACACUUUUACUGUAAUGCUGCUCCCUUAAUAUAGCUGACAUAUAUUUCGCAGCAAAGUCAUAUUUAAUACUAAACUGAGACAAUGACUUAAGAUCUCUCUGUAAAAUUUCUAAAAAGCUUUGAACUUGUAAACUACUGUUUUACUGGAUCCUACAUGUGUAGAAAUGGAUAAAAAAUAUAAUUUUUCAGGUUUCCUUAAGCGUUGUGAAUUCAGUGUUAAUGUACUUGUCUAAACUACAGGUUCUGCUAAAGUAAAAAAAAAAUAACCAAAUAAUAGUUCAAAUGCUGGGGAAAAAACACAAAGGAAAAUUAUACCCAAAUGGCAAAGAAGAUACAGUCCGAACAGCCUUUGAAGGGUAAAUGGUAAUUUUUAUUUAUGAAUUCAAGCAACAUCCAUCACACUUCUCAAAGGCCUCUGAUUUUCAGGGAUGUCCCUGAUUCCAGUUUUGAAUAGUAUUUUUGUCCCUUGUAGAGUCUGGGAAAAAGUCAAGAUCAUAUUCUCAACAUAAACAUUACAGCUAUAACUUCUAAUCCUUCAGAAAAUCCAUAGUAAUACACAUCCUCUUUACACACUCAACUAAGUGAAAAGCACCAGUAACCUUAAACAUACUUCUGGGUUUUGGACUUUUGUACCUGAUUUUGAGGUAAGUGGCUAACAGCUAUUGUACCUAAAACAAUUACUAAAGUUGGGAAAAGGUAAGUGCAGCAUAAAUCUGAAUCCAAUGGAGUUAAAGGCAGACAUACAGAUGUACACAGUGAGCGAAUGAGUUAAAAGUAAACAGAUUUGAAAGUGAAAAAGUAUUGUGUAUUACAGUGGGAAAGCUGGAGCACAUAAACAUGGUACUAAUAAUGCUGAAAACACAAAUGCUCUGCUUAUUAAAUCAGAUGGCUAAGUGCUACAAAAUAUUUUAUCAGUUACAUAAUUGUAGAAACAGCUCGAACAAAUGCAGCAAAAAUGAGUACGCCUCAAUGCACUAAUAUCAUGAAAAUAUGUUUGAGUUACUGGGUAUGUUCUGCAACAACUUAAAGUAACAUCAAAUUUGAAAAUCAACAUUUGUGUUAGGCUGUUUAUAUAGUACACUGUUACAAAGAUGGUUACUGUAAAAUGUAUUUAUCAGAAAAGAUGCAUCUCUCUGUAAAGGUAUAUUUAAUAAAGUUUUUAAAUUACA
Molecule: long non-coding RNA, 2975 nt
Organism: Protopterus annectens (West African lungfish)
Lineage: Eukaryota; Metazoa; Chordata; Ceratodontiformes; Protopteridae
Exons: 2
Source: RefSeq, a predicted model, not a curated record